This 381-nucleotide ribosomal RNA is filed under the name uncultured bacterium. RNAcentral describes it as "bacterial SSU rRNA". It matches the Rfam family "Bacterial small subunit ribosomal RNA", at positions 29 to 400 of the family's 1533-position model. The record is from RNAcentral.
AACGAACGCUGGCGGCGCGCCUAAUACAUGCAAGUCGAGCGAGAAGACGUAGCAAUACGUUUGUAAAGCGGCGAACGGGUGAGGAAUACAUGGGUAACCUACCCUCGAGUGGGGAAUAACUAGCCGAAAGGUUAGCUAAUACCGCGUACGCUCCUUGGACUUCGGUUCAGGGAGGAAAGCGAUACCGUGGGUAUCGCGCUCUUGGAUGGGCUCAUGUCCUAUCAGCUUGUUGGNGAGGUAACGGCUCACCAAGGCUUCGACGGGUAGCUGGUCUGAGAGGACGAUCAGCCACACUGGCACUGCGACACGGGCCAGACUCCUACGGGAGGCAGCAGUAAGGAAUAUUGCGCAAUGGGCGAAAGCCUGACGCAGCGACGCCGC